UACGUAGGGUGCGAGCGUUGUCCGGAUUUAUUGGGCGUAAAGAGCUCGUAGGCGGUUUGUCGCGUCGGCCGUGAAAUCUCCACGCUUAACGUGGAGCGUGCGGUCGAUACGGGCAGACCUUGAGUUCGGUAGGGGAGACUGGAAUUCCUGGUGUAGCGGUGAAAUGCGCAGAUAUCAGGGGGAACACCGGGUGGCGAAGGCGGGUCUCUGGGCCGAUACUGGACGCUGAGG
RNAcentral lists this ribosomal RNA (231 nucleotides) under uncultured bacterium. RNAcentral describes it as "partial 16S ribosomal RNA". It matches the Rfam family "Bacterial small subunit ribosomal RNA", at positions 524 to 751 of the family's 1533-position model. The record is from RNAcentral.